CAGAAAGGCCGGGCGCGUCCGGGUUAGCCGUGGUGUGUGGUGCAUAUGCACUCACAGCGCAGUCAAUGCGUGGCCGCGCAUCCCAUACCGUCUAUUCCUGGGUCUUGCUUCCUUCUGUAUGGUCAUGUAUGAUAAUUUCGUGUGGGUAUUACAAAACGUAAUUUAAUAUUGAGGAGCCAAGACAGGAGGGGAUGUCUUCAGAAUUUGGAAAUGUGCAUGAUUAUACAGACUUCAGUAGCAUCCUUGUGGGAUAUUUUUCAGAAGGAACUUAUUUCACUCAAUGCAAAAGGAUGGAGAGAGUUCCAGCUGAGGAGGUUCUGCUUUGACCAGCUGGUUUUCAUCCAUGAGCUGAUCUGAACCUUCUGUGCUGUCUUGAUGAUGUAGGCAGGUUGUGCCAAGAGAUGCACAGAGCUGUGUGCCAUUUGUAAGCUGCUUGGCUUUGAGUCCAUGUCAUCUGGCAUUUUCCCUAAUGGCAAAGAAAACUAACAUUGUAAGUGAAGAGUCUGUUGCAAAGAUGAAGCCGAUUCCUUCCCUGAGUGAAGUUACCAGAACUCCAGUUCUAAUAUGGCAUCUUUAAGAAGUGAAGAAGGAUGUUUGUGAGAUUCACAGACAGGAGUAUGGCCUGGAGUGUGCUUCCUGAAUUACCUAAUACUCUGUCGACAAUGCUAAAGAAGCAGUUUUAGCACGUUUGUUGUGAAGAAAUUUCAAGGUUCUUUCAUAUCUAUUCAUUAGUCUAAGAAAUUACAUUGUCUCCUUUUUUUAAGUGAAUAGUUUAAGAUACAAUCCUGUCUUUAUUUGUCCUUCCAUUUAAUUUUAACUGAAACAACAUUCAAAAGGAGGUUAUUUUUUUUAAGGUCAGAGGUUGUUUUCAUGUUAUCUUUUAGAUAAUAUAUCUUUCCUACUGUCAGGAAACUUUGAGGCCCAAAAAAGUGAUGAUACUGCCAAUAGUGUCCUGGUAAUGAUAUAUGUAUUUAAAGCAGAAUUUAUUUGACUCAACAUUGGUGAUUACUAUGUAGGUGUCCACAACACGGCAAGUUACCCAUGAUCAUUUUAUAGUCUUUGGAGGGCUUGUUACUAUGUCAGUGGAGCCUAGGAUGCAAUUCAGACCUUCGAAAACAGAGAGGUGAACUGCAGCUAAACCCCACUGAGUACAGAGGGAGAUGAAUCAGCUACCUUAGAAACACCUAAAUUUAGAUGGGAUAAGUAGCACUUCUAAUCUGAAGAUGAGAUUUAGGUUGAGUUGAACCAAAGAUGACUGUAAGGAAAGCAAGUUUCAUUUAGUUUAGGUCUUUUUCCUGUAUGAUACUGAAACAUGAAUUUUCAAAUCCCCCUGAAGGUCAAAUCAAGAUUGGUUCGCAAUUUUUUUUUUUGUGAUUGUUUCACAAAAAUUUUCAACAAGGUUUCAGUGUGUGGCUUUACAAACCUUUUAUUCCUUAAAUAAUAAUUAUUUGUAAUAAAGUUUAAAAUUAUCUGUAAAGGAAUGUAAAAUCCACAUAAACUCUGUCUCUAGUUUCUACCAGCAAGCAAGAUCCCAUUUGAAGUAUUCUUCUUGGGUACCGUAUUUGAGGUGAAUGUCAGUGUAGUGGCACUUGCCUUCAUAGAGCUUAUGGCCAGAAAAAACUAUCACUCUUCUGCUUCAGUCUCCUAUGUUAUAACGUACAUAGAAUUUAGUCUUCUGCAUUGAGUCUAGUAACCUAUAUUUGACUUAAAUAUUUGUCAGUAAUGCAACUAAAAUAAACACAUCACCUUUCAGUCUUCUCUUCAGUAAAUUAAAUAAACAACAUUUUAAAA
Molecule: long non-coding RNA, 1791 nt
Organism: Cygnus atratus (black swan)
Lineage: Eukaryota; Metazoa; Chordata; Aves; Anseriformes; Anatidae
Exons: 2
Source: RefSeq, a predicted model, not a curated record